AGAGUUUGAUCCUGGCUCAGAACGUACGCUGGCGGCACGCCUAACACAUGCAAGUCGAACGAAGUAGCAAUACUUAGUGGCAAACGGGUGAGUAAUAUGUGGGAAUCUACCCUUCGGUCUGGAAUAACAUGAGGAAACUUAUGCUAAUACUGGAUAAGCCUUUACAGGGAAAGCUUUAUGCUCCGAUUGAUGAGUCCACACUUGAUUAGUUAGUUGGUGAGGUAAUAGCUCACCAAGACAAUGAUCAAUAGCUGAUUUGAGAGGAUGAUCAGCCACAUUGGGACUGAGACACGGCCCAAACUCCUACGGGAGGCAGCAGUGGGGAAUUUUGCACAAUGGGGGAAACCCUGAUGCAGCGAUGCCGCGUGAGUGAAGAAGGCCCUUGGGUUGUAAAACUCUUUCGUCGGGGAAGAAAAUGACUGUACCCGAAUAAGAAGGUCCGGCUAACUUCGUGCCAGCAGCCGCGGUAAUACGAAGGGACCUAGCGUAGUUCGGAAUUACUGGGCUUAAAGAGCUCGUAGGUGGUUAGAAAAGUUGAUGGUGAAAUCCCAAGGCUUAACCUUGGAACUGCCAUCAAAACUUUUUAGCUAGAGUGUGAUAGAGGAAAGUGGAAUUUCUAGUGUAGAGGUGAAAUUCGUAGAUAUUAGAAAGAACACCAAUUGCGAAGGCAGCUUUCUGGAUCAUUACUGACACUGAGGAGCGAAAGCAUGGGUAGCGAAGAGGAUUAGAUACCCUCGUAGUCCAUGCCAUAAACGAUGUGUGCUAGACGUUGGAAAUUUAUUUUUCAGUGUCGCAGCGAAAGCGUUAAGCACACCGCCUGGGGAGUACGACCGCAAGGUUAAAACUCAAAUGAAUUGACGGGGACCCGCACAAGCAGUGGAGCAUGUGGUUUAAUUCGAAGAUACGCGCAGAACCUUACCAACACUUGACAUGUUCGUCGCGACUUUAAGAGAUUAAAGUCUUCGGUUCGGCCGGACGAAACACAGGUGCUGCAUGGCUGUCGUCAGCUCGUGUCGUGAGAUGUUGGGUUAAGUCCCGCAACGAGCGCAACCCUUACUUUUAGUUGCCACCAUUUAGUUGAGCACUCUGAAAGAACUGCCAGUGAUAAACUGGAGGAAGGUGGGGAUGACGUCAAGUCCUCAUGGCCCUUAUGUGUUGGGCUACACACGUGCUACAAUGGCACUUACAAUAGGAAGCAAAGAGGCGACUCUAAGCAAAUCCUUAAAAAGUGCCUCAGUUCGGAUUGUACUCUGCAACUCGAGUACAUGAAGCUGGAAUUGCUAGUAAUCGCGGAUCAGCGCGCCGCGGUGAAUACGUUCCCGGGUCUUGUACACACCGCCCGUCACACCAUGGAAGUUGGUUCUACCUUAAGGCAAAGCAUAAAACCUUUGACCACGGUAUAGUCAGCGACUGGGGUGAAGUCGUAACAAGGUAACC
This 1437-nucleotide ribosomal RNA is filed under the name uncultured bacterium. RNAcentral's name for it is "bacterial SSU rRNA". It matches the Rfam family "Bacterial small subunit ribosomal RNA". The record is from RNAcentral.